RNAcentral lists this ribosomal RNA (497 nucleotides) under uncultured bacterium. RNAcentral's name for it is "partial 16S ribosomal RNA". It matches the Rfam family "Bacterial small subunit ribosomal RNA", at positions 28 to 507 of the family's 1533-position model. The record is from RNAcentral.
GAUGAACGCUGGCGGCGUGCCUAAUACAUGCAAGUCGAGCGAACAGACGAGGAGCUUGCUCCUCUGACGUUAGCGGCGGACGGGUGAGUAACACGUGGAUAACCUACCUAUAAGACUGGGAUAACUUCGGGAAACCGGAGCUAAUACCGGAUAAUAUAUUGAACCGCAUGGUUCAAUAGUGAAAGACGGUUUUGCUGUCACUUAUAGAUGGAUCCGCGCCUCAUUAGCUAGUUGGUAAGGUAACGGCUUACCAAGGCAACGAUGCGUAGCCGACCUGAGAGGGUGAUCGGCCACACUGGAACUGAGACACGGUCCAGACUCCUACGGGAGGAAGCAGUAGGGAAUCUUCCGCAAUGGGCGAAAGCUUGACGGAGCAACGCCGCGUGAGUGAUGAAGGUCUUCGGAUCGUAAAACUCUGUUAUUAGGGAAGAACAAAUGUGUAAGUAACUAUGCACGUCUUGACGGUACCUACUCAGAAAGCCACGGCUAACUACGUG